CGGCUCAUGAGGUGCUGCAGACUAAAGCUAUAAAGCACUUUCGCUCUGGGUGAGUACGAGUCGCAAGACUGAAAAUACAAUAGACAUUGACUGGGGGCCCGCACAAGCGGUGGAGCAUGUGGUUUAAUUCGAAGCAACGCGAAGAACCUUACACAUGUCUUGACAUCCUGUGACCACCCCAGAGAUAGGGCUUUCUCUUUGGGGGCAGAGUGACAGGUGGGGCAUGGUUGUUGUCAGCUCGCGUCGUGAGAUGUUGGGUUCAGUUCCGCAACGAGCGCAACCCUUGAUCUUAGUUGCCGGCAUUUAGUUGGGCACUUUAAGGUGACUGCCGGUGACAAACCGGAGGAAGGUGGGGAUGACGUCAAAUUAUCAUGCCCCCUUUGACCUGGGCUACACACUUGGUUCAAUGGACAGAACAAAGGGGUGCGAGACCGCAAGGUUUAGCCAAUCCCACAAAUCUGUUCUCAGUUCGGAUCGCAGUUUGCAACUCGAAUGCGUGAAGCGGGAAUCGCUUGUAAUCGCGGAUCUGCAUGCCGCGGUGAAUACGUUCCCGGGCCUAGUACACACCGCCCGUCACACCACGUGAGUUUGCAACACCCGAAGUCGGUGAGGUAACCUUUAUGGAUCCAGCCGCCGAAGGUGGGGCAGAUGAUUGGGGGAAGUCGGAGCAACUAGCCUAGCCC
Molecule: ribosomal RNA, 683 nt
Filed under: Bacillus pumilus
Lineage: Bacteria; Bacillati; Bacillota; Bacilli; Caryophanales; Bacillaceae
Description: bacterial SSU rRNA
Rfam family: Bacterial small subunit ribosomal RNA
Source: RNAcentral